This 506-nucleotide ribosomal RNA is filed under the name uncultured bacterium. Its description in RNAcentral is "partial 16S ribosomal RNA". It matches the Rfam family "Bacterial small subunit ribosomal RNA", at positions 28 to 523 of the family's 1533-position model. The record is from RNAcentral.
GAUGAACGCUAGCUACAGGCUUAACACAUGCAAGUCGAGGGGUAACGAGAGGAAAGCUUGCUUUCCUUGUCGACGACCGGCGCACGGGUGAGUAACGCGUAUCCAACCUGCCCCCAACUAGGGAAUAACCUUGCGAAAGUAAGACCAAGACCCUAUAAUUUCAUCAGAUGUCAUCUGACGAGGAAUAAAGAUUUAUCGGUUGUGUAGGGGGAUGCGUCUGAUUAGCGUGUUGGCGGGGUAACGGCCCACCCAGGCACCGAUCAGGAGGGGUUCUGAGAGGAAGGUCCACCACAUUGGAAAUGAGACACGGUCCAAACUCCUACGGGAGGCAGCAGUGAGGAAUAUUGGUCAAUGGGCGGAAGCCUGAACCAGCCAAGUAGCGUGCAGGAUGACGGCCCUAUGGGUUGUAAACUGCUUUUAUACAGGAAUAAAGUUAUCCACGUGUGGUUAUUUGUAGGCACUGUAUGAAUAAGGACCGGCUAAUUCCGUGCCAGCCGCCGCGGUAA